GGGGGGGGGGGGGGGGGGGGUGGGGGGGGCGAGGGGGGGGGACAGGGGGGGAGGGGGCGGGUCUGGCGGUAGCGGCGGGCGGGGGAGUAACACGGGGAUAACCUACCUAUAAGACUGGGGUAACUUCGGGAAACCGGAGCUACUACCGGAUAAUAUAUUGAACCGCAUGGUUCCAUAGUGAAAGACGGUUUUGCUGUCACUUAUAGAUGGAUCCGCGCCGCAUUAGCUAGUUGGUAAGGUAACGGCUUACCAAGGCGACGAUGCGUAGCCGACCUGAGAGGGUGAUCGGCCACACUGGAACUGAGACACGGUCCAGACUCCUACGGGAGGCAGCAGUAGGGAAUCUUCCGCAAUGGGCGAAAGCCUGACGGAGCAACGCCGCGUGAGUGAUGAAGGUCUUCGGAUCGUAAAACUCUGUUAUUAGGGAAGAACAAAUGUGUAAGUAACUAUGCACGUCUUGACGGUACCUAAUCAGAAAGCCACGGCUAACUACGUG
Molecule: ribosomal RNA, 496 nt
Filed under: uncultured bacterium
Lineage: Bacteria
Description: partial 16S ribosomal RNA
Rfam family: Bacterial small subunit ribosomal RNA (bases 53-496)
Source: RNAcentral